CCUACGAGUGGCAGCAGUGAGGAAUAUUGGUCAAUGGGCGCGAGCCUGAACCAGCCAAGUAGCGUGAAGGAUGACUGCCCUACGGGUUGUAAACUUCUUUUAUAAAGGAAUAAAGUGAGGCACGUGUGCCUUUUUGUAUGUACUUUAUGAAUAAGGAUCGGCGAACUCCGUGCCAGCAGCCGCGGUAAUACGGAGGAUCCGAGCGUUAUCCGGAUUUAUUGGGUAUAAAGGGAGCGUAGAUGGGUUGUUAAGUCAGUUGUGAAAGUUUGCGGCUGAACCGUAAAAUUGCAAUUGAUACUGGCAGUCUUGAGUACAGUUGAGGUAGGCGGAAUUCGUGGUGUAGCGGUGAAAUGCUUAGAUAUCACGAAGAACUCCGAUUGCGAAGGCAGCUUACUAAACUGCCACUGACAUUGAUGCUCGAAAGUGUGGGUAUCAAACAGGAUUAGAUACCCCUGUAGUC
Molecule: ribosomal RNA, 460 nt
Filed under: uncultured bacterium
Lineage: Bacteria
Description: partial 16S ribosomal RNA
Rfam family: Bacterial small subunit ribosomal RNA
Source: RNAcentral